UCGAGGAUCUUCGGCAAUGUGCGAAAGCAUGACCGAGCGACGCCGCGUGUGCGACGAAGGCCUUCGGGUUGUAAAGCACUGUCGAGGGGGAGGAAAGCCGAAAGGUCUGACCUAUCCCUGGAGGAAGCACGGGCUAAGUUCGUGCCAGCAGCCGCGGUAAGACGAACCGUGCGAACGUUGUUCGGAAUCACUGGGCAUAAAGGGCGCGUAGGCGGGCCGAUAAGUCAGGGGUGAAAUCCUCCAGCUUAACUGGAGAACUGCCUUUGAUACUGACGGCCUCGAGUAAGGUAGGGGCAUGCGGAACUGAUGGUGGAGCGGUGAAAUGUGUUGAUAUCAUCAGGAACUCCGGUGGCGAAAGCGGCAUGCUGGACCUUUACUGACGCUGAGGCGCGAAAGCUAGGGGAGCAAACGGGAUUAGAUACCCCCGUAGUCCCUGAGCGGGCUGGCAAGGCGCAU
This 456-nucleotide ribosomal RNA is filed under the name uncultured bacterium. RNAcentral's name for it is "bacterial SSU rRNA". It matches the Rfam family "Bacterial small subunit ribosomal RNA", at positions 355 to 825 of the family's 1533-position model. The record is from RNAcentral.